RNAcentral lists this ribosomal RNA (826 nucleotides) under Ophiocordyceps blakebarnesii. RNAcentral's name for it is "eukaryotic LSU rRNA". It matches the Rfam family "Eukaryotic large subunit ribosomal RNA", at positions 76 to 934 of the family's 3401-position model. Lineage: Eukaryota; Fungi; Ascomycota; Sordariomycetes; Hypocreales; Ophiocordycipitaceae. The record is from RNAcentral.
UGCCCUAGUAACGGCGAGUGAAGCGGCAACAGCUCAAAUUUGAAAUCUGGCCCUCGGGUCCGAGUUGUAAUUUGUAGAGGAUGCUUUUGGUGCGGUGCCUUCCGAGUUCCCUGGAACGGGACGCCAUAGAGGGUGAGAGCCCCGUCUGGUUGGACACCAAUCCUCUGUAAAGCUCCUUCGACGAGUCGAGUAGUUUGGGAAUGCUGCUCUAAAUGGGAGGUAUAUGUCUUCUAAAGCUAAAUAUUGGCCAGAGACCGAUAGCGCACAAGUAGAGUGAUCGAAAGAUGAAAAGCACUUUGAAAAGAGAGUUAAACAGUACGUGAAAUUGUUGAAAGGGAAGCGCUUAUGACCAGACUUGGGCUUGGUAGAUCAACCUGGGUUCUCCCUGGUGCACUCUUCCUCGUCCAGGCCAGCAUCAGUUCGCUGCGGGGGAUAAAGGCUUCGGGAAUGUGGCUCCCUCGGGAGUGUUAUAGCCCGUUGCGUAAUACCCUGCGGUGGACUGAGGUUCGCGUUCUGCAAGGAUGCUGGCGUAAUGGUCAUCAGCGACCCGUCUUGAAACACGGACCAAGGAGUCGUCUUCGUAUGCGAGUGUUCGGGUGUUAAACCCCUACGCGUAAUGAAAGUGAACGCAGGUGAGAGCUUCGGCGCAUCAUCGACCGAUCCUGAUGUUCUCGGAUGGAUUUGAGUAAGAGCAUACGGGGCCGGACCCGAAAGAAGGUGAACUAUGCCUGUAUAGGGUGAAGCCAGAGGAAACUCUGGUGGAGGCUCGCAGCGGUUCUGACGUGCAAAUCGAUCGUCAAAUAUGGGCAUGGGGGCGAAAGACUAA